UGGGGAAUUUUGGACAAUGGGCGAAAGCCUGAUCCAGCAAUGCCGCGUGUGUGAAGAAGGCCUUCGGGUUGUAAAGCACUUUUGUCCGGAAAGAAAUCCUUGGCUCUAAUACAGUCGGGGGAUGACGGUACCGGAAGAAUAAGCACCGGCUAACUACGUGCCAGCAGCCGCGGUAAUACGUAGGGUGCAAGCGUUAAUCGGAAUUACUGGGCGUAAAGCGUGCGCAGGCGGUUUGCUAAGACCGAUGUGAAAUCCCCGGGCUCAACCUGGGAACUGCAUUGGUGACUGGCAGGCUAGAGUAUGGCAGAGGGGGGUAGAAUUCCACGUGUAGCAGUGAAAUGCGUAGAGAUGUGGAGGAAUACCGAUGGCGAAGGCAGCCCCCUGGGCCAAUACUGACGCUCAUGCACGAAAGCGUGGGGGAGCAAACAGGAUUUAGAUACCCCUGGUAGUCCACGCCCUAAAACGAUGUCAACUAGGUUGUUGGGGGAUUUCAUUUCCUUAGUAACGUAGCUAACGCGUGAAGUUGACCGCCUGGGGGAGUACGGUCGCAAGAUUAAAACUCAAAUGAAUUGAC
RNAcentral lists this ribosomal RNA (574 nucleotides) under uncultured bacterium. Its description in RNAcentral is "partial 16S ribosomal RNA". It matches the Rfam family "Bacterial small subunit ribosomal RNA", at positions 355 to 914 of the family's 1533-position model. The record is from RNAcentral.